AUGCAGUUUCUCCAGAGAACACAUCAACGCUACCAGGAGUCUCUGAAGGAGGCCCAGAACCAAACUCCACAACACCUGAACCUGUCCUCCAUCCAGCCCUCUGCAGCUGUGCGUCAGUACCUCCAGAGCUUCCAUGACAUUGUGAAUGAGGAGCCCAUCUACUGGCUGGUGUCUCUGCUGCCCAGAGCCCUGCUCAGACCUUACCUGGCAAAGAACCUGCCCCUGGGAGAGAGGACCAGACCAGGCCCCAGGCCCUGCCUCUACCCCUGGCUAAGCCUCUUCCCCUGCCCCUGCUACCAGUGGGGGGGAGAGGACAUGAAGUCAGACCAGAGGAACCAGAAAGACAAGUCAGGGACAUAUUACAGGCUUCUACUGGAGAAGUACCAGGAUGUGAUAGAUGUCAAUAAGGCUGUCAACAUCUUCAGAGUCCAGAUGAUCAACGAGAAGGCUCUCUUCACCUCCAGGUGCGGUUAGC
This 475-nucleotide long non-coding RNA is filed under the name Salmo trutta (river trout). RNAcentral describes it as "lncRNA (ENSSTUG00000038310.1)". Lineage: Eukaryota; Metazoa; Chordata; Actinopteri; Salmoniformes; Salmonidae. The record is from RNAcentral.